UUGGAGGGCAAGUCUGGUGCCAGCAGCCGCGGUAAUUCCAGCUCCAAUAGCGUAUAUUAAAGUUGCUGCAGUUAAAAAGCUCGUAGUUGAAUUUCGGGACUAAUAUGUCGGUCGUGCCUCGGUACGUACUGGUACUUUUGGUUUCUCCCUUCUGACGAACCUUGAUGUCAUUAAUUUGGUGUCUUGGGGAAUCAGGACUGUUACUUUGAAAAAAUUAGAGUGUUUAAAGCAGGCUCACGCUUGAAUACAUUAGCAUGGAAUAAUGAAAUAGGACGUUUGAUUCUAUUUUGUUGGUUUCUAGGAUCGACGUAAUGAUUAAUAGGGAUAGUUGGGGGCAUUAGUAUUCAAUUGUCAGAGGUGAAAUUCUUGGAUUUAUUGAAGACUAACUACUGCGAAAGCAUUUGCCAAGGAUGUUUUCAUUAAUCAAGAACGAAAGUUAGGGGAUCGAAGACGAUCAGAUACCGUCGUAGUCUUAACCAUAAACUAUGCCGACUAGGGAUCGGAUGAUGUUAAUUUUUUAAUGACUCAUUCGGCGCCUUACGGGAAACCAAAGUGUUUGGGUUC
This 564-nucleotide ribosomal RNA is filed under the name uncultured Glomeromycotina. RNAcentral describes it as "SSU rRNA". It matches the Rfam family "Eukaryotic small subunit ribosomal RNA", at positions 548 to 1114 of the family's 1831-position model. The record is from RNAcentral. Lineage: Eukaryota; Fungi; Glomeromycota.